GGCCCCGUAGCUCAAUUGGAUAGAGCACGGGAUUUCUAAUCCCGCGGUUGCAGGUUCGAGUCCUGCCGGGGCCACCA
This 77-nucleotide transfer RNA is filed under the name Bacteroidota bacterium. RNAcentral describes it as "tRNA-Arg". It matches the Rfam family "tRNA". From Rfam's summary of the family: Transfer RNA (tRNA) molecules are approximately 80 nucleotides in length. Their secondary structure includes four short double-helical elements and three loops (D, anti-codon, and T loops). The record is from RNAcentral. Lineage: Bacteria; Pseudomonadati; Bacteroidota.